This 3279-nucleotide ribosomal RNA is filed under the name Xenorhabdus nematophila. RNAcentral's name for it is "23S ribosomal RNA". It matches the Rfam family "Bacterial large subunit ribosomal RNA". The record is from RNAcentral. Lineage: Bacteria; Pseudomonadati; Pseudomonadota; Gammaproteobacteria; Enterobacterales; Morganellaceae.
GGGUUGUGAGGUUAAGCGACUAAGCGUACACGGUGGAUGCCUAGGCAGUCAGAGGCGAUGAAGGGCGUGCUAAUCUGCGAUAAGCGACGGCAAGGUGAUAUGAACCGCAACACCCGUCGAUACCCGAAUGGGGAAACCCAGUGCAAUCCGUUGCACUAUCAUUCACUGAAUUCAUAGGUGAAUGAGGCGAACCGGGGGAACUGAAACAUCUCAGUACCCCGAGGAAAAGAAAUCAACCGAGAUUCCCCCAGUAGCGGCGAGCGAACGGGGAGGAGCCCAGAACCCGCAUCGGCUUGUGUGUCAGUGGAAGCGCCUGGAAAGGCGCGCAGUAAAGGGUGACAGCCCCGUACACGAAGACGGCAGAGAUGCCGGAGUGCCUUCGGGAACCGUGAGACAGGUGCUGCAUGGCUGUCGUCAGCUCGUGUUGUGAAAUGUUGGGUUAAGUCCCGCAACGAGCGCAACCCUUAUCCUUUGUUGCCAGCACGUGAUGGUGGGAACUCAAGGGAGACUGCCGGUGAUAAACCGGAGGAAGGUGGGGAUGACGUCAAGUCAUCAUGGCCCUUACGAGUAGGGCUACACACGUGCUACAAUGGCAGAUACAAAGAGAAGCGACCUCGCGAGAGCAAGCGGAACUCAUAAAGUCUGUCGUAGUCCGGAUUGGAGUCUGCAACUCGACUCCAUGAAGUCGGAAUCGCUAGUAAUCGUAGAUCAGAAUGCUACGGUGAAUACGUUCCCGGGCCUUGUACACACCGCCCGUCACACCAUGGGAGUGGGUUGCAAAAGAAGUAGGUAGCUUAACCUUCGGGGGGGCGCUUACCACUUUGUGAUUCAUGACUGGGGUGAAGUCGUAACAAGGUAACCGUAGGGGAACCUGCGGUUGGAUCACCUCCUUACCGAANNNNNNNNNNNNNNNNNNNNNNNNNNNNNNNNNNNNNNNNNNNNNNNNNNNNNNNNNNNNNNNNNNNNNNNNNNNNNNNNNNNNNNNNNNNNNNNNNNNNGGGCGUUAAGUUGCAGGGUAUAGACCCGAAACCCGGUGAUCUAGCCAUGGGCAGGUUGAAGGUUGGGUAACACUAACUGGAGGACCGAACCGACUAAUGUUGAAAAAUUAGCGGAUGACUUGUGGCUGGGGGUGAAAGGCCAAUCAAACCGGGAGAUAGCUGGUUCUCCCCGAAAGCUAUUUAGGUAGCGCCUCGUGAAGUCAUCUUCGGGGGUAGAGCACUGUUUCGGCUAGGGGGUCAUCCCGACUUACCAACCCGAUGCAAACUGCGAAUACCGAAGAAUGUUAUCACGGGAGACACACGGCGGGUGCUAACGUCCGUCGUGAAGAGGGAAACAACCCAGACCGCCAGCUAAGGUCCCGAAGUCAUGGUUAAGUGGGAAACGAAGUGGGAAGGCUCAGACAGCCAGGAUGUUGGCUUAGAAGCAGCCAUCAUUUAAAGAAAGCGUAAUAGCUCACUGGUCGAGUCGGCCUGCGCGGAAGAUGUAACGGGGCUAAACCAUGCACCGAAGCUGCGGCAGCGACAUGAAAGUGUUGUUGGGUAGGGGAGCGUUCUGUAAGCCGCAGAAGGUGGCCUGUGAGGGCUGCUGGAGGUAUCAGAAGUGCGAAUGCUGACAUAAGUAACGAUAAAGCGGGUGAAAAACCCGCUCGCCGGAAGACCAAGGGUUCCUGUCCAACGUUAAUCGGGGCAGGGUGAGUCGACCCCUAAGGCGAGGCCGACAGGCGUAGUCGAUGGGCAACAGGUUAAUAUUCCUGUACCCGGUGUGACUGCGAAGGGGGGACGGAGAAGGCUAGGCCAGCCGGGCGACGGUCGUCCCGGUUGAAGCGUGUAGGUGGGUGGUUUUGGAAAAUCCGGACCGCUGAUAACACUGAGGCGUGAUAACGAGGCACUACGGUGCUGAAGUGGUUGAUGCCCUGCUUCCAGGAAAAGCCUCUAAGCAUCAGGUCACAUUGGAUCGUACCCCAAACCGACACAGGUGGUCAGGUAGAGAAUACUCAGGCGCUUGAGAGAACUCGGGUGAAGGAACUAGGCAAAAUGGUGCCGUAACUUCGGGAGAAGGCACGCUGGCGCCAGGUGAAGGAACGAGCUUCCGGAGCCGAGGCCAGUCGCAGAUACCAGCUGGCUGCAACUGUUUAAUAAAAACACAGCACUGUGCAAACACGCAAGUGGACGUAUACGGUGUGACGCCUGCCCGGUGCUGGAAGGUUAAUUGAUGGGGUUAUCGCGUUGCGAGAAGCUCUUGAUCGAAGCCCCAGUAAACGGCGGCCGUAACUAUAACGGUCCUAAGGUAGCGAAAUUCCUUGUCGGGUAAGUUCCGACCUGCACGAAUGGCGUAAUGAUGGCCAGGCUGUCUCCACCCGAGACUCAGUGAAAUUGAACUCGCUGUGAAGAUGCAGUGUACCCGCGGCAAGACGGAAAGACCCCGUGAACCUUUACUAUAGCUUGACACUGAACCUUGAGCCUUGAUGUGUAGGAUAGGUGGGAGGCCUGGAAGUGCGGACGCCAGUCUGCACGGAGCCAACCUUGAAAUACCACCCUUGAAUGUUUGAUGUUCUAACGCAGGCCCGUGAUCCGGGUUGCGGACAGUGUCUGGUGGGUAGUUUGACUGGGGCGGUCUCCUCCCAAAGCGUAACGGAGGAGCACGAAGGUUAGCUAAUCACGGUCGGACAUCGUGAGGUUAGUGCAAUGGCAUAAGCUGGCUUGACUGCGAGAGUGACAGCUCGAGCAGGUGCGAAAGCAGGUCAUAGUGAUCCGGUGGUUCUGCAUGGAAGGGCCAUCGCUCAACGGAUAAAAGGUACUCCGGGGAUAACAGGCUGAUACCGCCCAAGAGUUCAUAUCGACGGCGGUGUUUGGCACCUCGAUGUCGGCUCAUCACAUCCUGGGGCUGAAGCAGGUCCCAAGGGUACGGCUGUUCGCCGUUUAAAGUGGUACGCGAGCUGGGUUUAGAACGUCGUGAGACAGUUCGGUCCCUAUCUGCCGUGGGCGCUGGAAGAUUGAAAGGGGCUGCUCCUAGUACGAGAGGACCGGAGUGGACGCACCACUGGUGUUCGGGUUGUCAUGCCAAUGGCACUGCCCGGUAGCUACGUGCGGAAGAGAUAACCGCUGAAAGCAUCUAAGCGGGAAACUUGCCUUGAGAUGAGUCUUCCCUUGUCCUUUAAGGACACUGAAGGAACGUUCGAGACGAGGACGUGGAUAGGCCGGGUGUGUAAGCGUAGCGAUACGUUGAGCUGACCGGUACUAAUGAACCGUGCGGCUUAACCUGACAACACCGAAGGUGUUU